GCCAGACUCCUACGGGAGGCAGCAGUGGGGAAUAUUGGGCAAUGGGCGCAAGCCUGACCCAGCAACGCCGCGUGAAGGAAGAAGGCUUUCGGGUUGUAAACUUCUUUUAAGAGGGAAGAGUAGAAGACGGUACCUCUUGAAUAAGCCACGGCUAACUACGUGCCAGCAGCCGCGGUAAUACGUAGGUGGCAAGCGUUGUCCGGAUUUACUGGGUGUAAAGGGCGUGUAGCCGGGCCGGCAAGUCAGAUGUGAAAUCUCAAGGCUCAACCUUGGAACUGCAUUUGAAACUGUUGGUCUUGAGUAUCGGAGAGGCAGGCGGAAUUCCUAGUGUAGCGGUGAAAUGCGUAGAUAUUAGGAGGAACACCAGUGGCGAAGGCGGCCUGCUGGACGACAACUGACGGUGAGGCGCGAAAGCGUGGGGAGCAAACAGGAUUAGAUACCCCGGUA
This 447-nucleotide ribosomal RNA is filed under the name uncultured bacterium. RNAcentral's name for it is "bacterial SSU rRNA". It matches the Rfam family "Bacterial small subunit ribosomal RNA", at positions 330 to 792 of the family's 1533-position model. The record is from RNAcentral.